This 77-nucleotide transfer RNA is filed under the name Candidatus Roizmanbacteria bacterium RIFCSPHIGHO2_01_FULL_39_8. Its description in RNAcentral is "tRNA-Val". It matches the Rfam family "tRNA". From Rfam's summary of the family: Transfer RNA (tRNA) molecules are approximately 80 nucleotides in length. Their secondary structure includes four short double-helical elements and three loops (D, anti-codon, and T loops). RNAcentral also lists the same sequence under 2 other names. Lineage: Bacteria; Candidatus Roizmaniibacteriota. The record is from RNAcentral.
GACCGCUUAGCUCAGCUGGCUAGAGCGUCACAUUGACAUUGUGAAGGCCGGGGGUUCAAGUCCCUCAGCGGUCACCA